UCAGAAUUCAGCUGUGAGGAUACAGGGAAGGAAGCGGGCCAGGCCUGGGAGAAGAAAAGACUCAUUGGGGAGAUGGCAUGUAAUCUGGUUCCCAGAAAGCCUGGUGGGAGAGUGAACUGGAUAGUGGUGCAGACCAUGCAGGAGUGAAAGAAGAAACAAUGUAACUCAGUCACUGGGAGGACUGAGGUCAAGGUGAAGAGGGAGGUGGGAAGAGCAUGGCCUGGCCACGAUUUUUGCAGAGAGGAGCUCUCCUCACCAGCUUCAGUCAUCACCACGUUGCUGUGUUCCUGCUCACGUUCUUCAGCUAUUCAUUACUCCAUGCAUCAAGAAAAAAGUUUAGCAAUGUGAAAGUCAGUAUCUCUAAGCACUGGACCCCAAAUGCUUUUAACACAUCACUUGACCUGCCUGCAGAGAUCUGGAGCAGCAACCACCUAUUUCCCAGCACAGAGGAAGCCACUCUUUCUUGGAACACUAGAUACUGUUUUUCUGUUCUCAUAUGCUGUGGAGUUCUCUAAACAGCAUCAUAGGGGAUCGGCUGAAUUUGCAAUGGUUCUGUCUUUGGCAUGUGCUCUUCUGUAUUCGUGCCGAGGAGUUGUCUUUGGUCUCUGGAGUGCCUGUGCUUCGGUGGGCAAUAUUUUGGGAGCAUUCCUGGCUUCAUCGGUUCUCCAGUAUGGUUAUGAGUAUGCCUUUCUGGUGACGGCAUCUGUGCAGUUUGCUCGUGGGAUCGUCAUCUUCUUUGGACUUCCAGUGUCACCAGAAGAAAUUGGUCUCCCAAGUAUUGAGGCAGAGGAAAGCUCGGAAGAAGAUUCACAGAGGCCACUCAUCGAUGGUGCUGAAAAUGAAGAUGACUAUGAGCCUAACUAUUCGAUCCAGGAGGACAGGACUGUCGUCCAAGUGAAGGCCAUAAGCUUUCAUCAGGCUUGCUGCCUUCCUGGGGUCAUCCCGUACUCACUGGCCUACACCUGCCUGAAGCUAGUGAACUACUCCUUCUUCUUCUGCCUGCCCUUUUAUCUGAGUAACAACUUCGGGUGGAAGGAAGCGGAAGCUGACAAGCUGUCCAUUUGGUACAACGUCGGAGGUAUCAUAGGUGGGACUCUGCAAGGCUUCAUCUCUGACGUACUGCAGAAGAGAGCACCUGUGCUGACCCUCAGCCUCUUCCUGGCCGUUGGGACCCUUGUUGGGUAUAGUUGCUCUCCAAACAGUAAGUCCAUCAAUGUGCUUCUGAUGACCAUUACAGGGUUUUUUAUCGUUAGACCAUCCAAUAUGGUUAGCUCUGCUAUUUCUGCAGACUUGGGUUGCCAAGAACUGAUCCAAGGGAGCAGCGAGGCUCUGGAGACUGUCACGGGGAUCGUCAAUGGAACAGGGAGUAUUGGUGCUGCUGUGGGCCAGUAUCUGGUGUCUUUGGUCCAGGACAACUUAGGAUGGAUGUGGGUUUUCUACUUUUUUAUUCUCAUGACAAGUUGUACAAUUCUGUUUAUCUCGCCAUUAAUAGUGAGGGAAGUAUUCUCUCUUGUGCAAAGGAGACAAACUCACUCACUUAAUGAAUGA
Molecule: non-coding RNA, 1548 nt
Organism: Mus caroli (Ryukyu mouse)
Lineage: Eukaryota; Metazoa; Chordata; Mammalia; Rodentia; Muridae
Source: RefSeq, a predicted model, not a curated record